AUGCAGAAGGUCUCUCUAAAGUGCCAAAGUUAUAAAAUUCCACUGGAAGUAAAUUCGCAGACUUUCCAAGAAUCAGUCACCCCCUGCAGCACAGGCAGAGACGGAGGGGUUGCGGGGGGGCAACUCUUUCCCUGGGAAGGAGUCCUCAUGUCCUGUGCUGCCCCUUGCAUCCCAACAAGCUGCUUCCUGGCUCUGCGCAGGUCAAGGUCCAGGGACUUCUCUUCAUUGUCAUCCUGGGGAUUCCUUGAAUGAAUUUGUUCCUUCCUUACAAUUACAUGUAAAUAAUGAUCAGCUGGGCAAAGAAUACUAGGCUGAAAAUUGUUUUCCUUCCAUGGUUAACAUUGCCCCCCUGGCUUCCAGCUUCCAGUGCUGCCCUCAAGAAGGCCAUGCAUUCUUAUCCUUAAUCCUUGGAUGGAAUCUAAUUUUUCUCUGGAAGCUUUAAGACUUGCUUUCUCCUUGGUGAUUUAAAAAUGAUGUAUUUGGAAGUUCCCUUCAUGGCUUAGCAGUUAAUGAACCCAACUAGGAUCCAUGAGGAUGUGGGUUCAAUCCCUGGCCUUGCUUGGUAGGCUAAGGAUCUUGCAUUGCUGUGGCUAUGGUUGCGGCUGGCAGCUGUAGCUCCAAUUCGACCCCUAGCCUGGGAACUUCCAUAUGCCGUGGGUGCGGCCCUAAAAAGCAAACAAAACAAAACAAAACAAAACAAAACAAAACAAAACAAACGUGUUUCACUGUAGUAUAUGGAAUGACUGGCCAAUGGGGACCUGCUUUAUAGCACAAGGAACUCUAUCCAAUAUUCUGCGAUAAUCUACAUGGGCAAAGAAUCUGAAAGAGAAUGGAUGUGUGUACAUGUAUAACUGAAUCACCUUGUUGCACAGCAGAAAUUAUCACUACAUUGUAAAUCAACCAUACUUCAAUAAAACUUUAAAGAAUGAAGAAAAUUGACAUGCAGAAAUAAUUAGCAGAAAUAGAUGCACAAACAAGAAGAACAAACUUAUGGUUACCAAAGGGAUAGUGGGGUGGGGGAAGGAUAAAUUAGGAGUUUGGGAUUAACAUAUACACAUGGCUAUAUAAAAAAUAGAUAAACAACACGGACCUACUGUAUAGCACAGGAAACUAUAUUCAAUAUGUUGUAAUAACCUAUACAGGAAAAAAAUCUGAAAAAGAAUAUGUGUAUAUGUGUGUGUGUGUGUACAAAACUUUGCUGUACACCUAAAACUAACACAAGACUAUAAAUUAACUACACUUCAAUAAAAAUUGGUUAACAAGGAAGGAAAAGAAAUGAUGUGAUUUUGCAUAUAUUGUCCACCCCCCAUUCAUCAAACUAGAUUUUAUUUCUUUGCUAACAUCUUUUUCUUGUUUCACUUCUGCUAUGACACCUAUUAUGAGUUGGUUAUUAUUCAUUCGGGCAUAAACUGAUAUGUUUCUUUUUUUUUCUCUCCUUUUUUUUUUUUUCCAUCUCAUCAUCUUCUAGGUAUACACUGAAAAGGAUCUCUUUAGCUUUAUCACCACUCUAGUAAAUUUAAUUUUUUUUCUGCUACCACGGUGAAAAAAAUACAUCUCUAAAAACUUUUCUGUGGUUUCCUUUGUGUUUAUUCUGGUUAGGAUCUGCUUUGUCUCUGUAUCUUUUAAGUUCCUUUCUCUGCAUGUUUGGUCUUUCAUGUUAGAAGUUUUUCUGACGUGAUUCCUGUCUGUUUACUCAUCCUUAGGAGGGAAAAGAGCAUGUAUACACAAACUUACAUGCUUUUGUAUGGAUGCUUAAGAUUUACUCUCUUAGCAAAUUUCAAGUAUAUGAUACAGUAUUAUUAGCUAUAGUCACCAUGCUGUAAUUAGAUCCCUAAAACUUACUUAUGUUCAAUAUUUGUUGAAUUUUUAAAAAAUGGAUAGAACUUUCUUCCAAACUUGGAAAAACAAGAGAAUAACGAGCUGUCUGUUCAUGUGUGUGGGUAUGCAUGUCUGAGGGUGCAUAUAUGUAUGUGCAUAUGUUUGUGUGUUCAUGUUUGACUAAUAAAAGCCACACCUAAAGGUUGGAAAGAAUAUUAUUCAGCCGAAUUUCCAAAGCCAAAGAUUGAUGUGGACCUGCCAACUCUAGGCCCUUAGUUCUUGUAAUUUCCUCUAAUGCUGAACUCCACUGAAUUUCUAAGCCAGUUGUAGCAGUGGCGUAAAGUAACUAGCUCAUUGGUCAGAG
RNAcentral lists this long non-coding RNA (2182 nucleotides) under Sus scrofa (pig). Its description in RNAcentral is "lncRNA (ENSSSCG00045003688.1)". The record is from RNAcentral. Lineage: Eukaryota; Metazoa; Chordata; Mammalia; Artiodactyla; Suidae.